RNAcentral lists this ribosomal RNA (387 nucleotides) under uncultured bacterium. RNAcentral's name for it is "bacterial SSU rRNA". It matches the Rfam family "Bacterial small subunit ribosomal RNA", at positions 30 to 419 of the family's 1533-position model. The record is from RNAcentral.
AUUGAACGCUGGCGGCAUGCCUUACACAUGCAAGUCGAACGGCAGCGGACCUUCGGGUGCCGGCGAGUGGCGAACGGGUGAGUAAUAUAUCGGAACGUACCCUUCAGUGGGGGAUAACGUAGCGAAAGUUACGCUAAUACCGCAUAUUCUGUGAGCAGGAAAGCAGGGGAUCGCAAGACCUUGCGCUGAUUGAGCGGCCGAUAUCAGAUUAGCUAGUUGGUGAGGUAAAGGCUCACCAAGGCGACGAUCUGUAGCGGGUCUGAGAGGAUGAUCCGCCACACUGGAACUGAGACACGGUCCAGACUCCUACGGGAGGCAGCAGUGGGGAAUUUUGGACAAUGGGCGCAAGCCUGAUCCAGCCAUGCCGCGUGAGUGAAGAAGGCCUGG